AUAGCCGGGUAUUGAGCGGUCCGGGUCUCUGCUGCUCAAAGUAAAGACCGUUUGAGAAGGCGGGGAGAGAUCGAAGAAGCUGCUUUAUCUUACAGUCACCCAAGGGGGAGCGCCUUCUUCCUUCCCAGAGUGGAGUGGCAGUGGGUCCGGGAUUCUGGGAUAUGCACAGGGUCUGCGCCCUGCGCCCUGUCCGCGCUGAAGCUGAACUUGUCAUUGGUUUGCAACAGCAUGGUGAAGAAGUGUGGUGUGGAUGGACGGACGGGCCUCUCAGGCACAUGAAAUACUCAAAGCCCAGUAUUAACCAAACAUGUUUCUCUGUUUUGUCUUUGAUCUUUGUGCAGUGUGUUGGCUUUUUUCCUUUAAUGAUGUCACUUGUAUUUUAUUUUUGGUUUAUUUGUAGACUGUCUCCCUCCUUGGCCAUGGCUUUACUUUUAUGUCCACCCAAGGAGAGUUUCACCAGUUUAGGUUUAAGAAAUUACUGACAAGUUAACAAUAAUAAUUUCAAAAUUGAACAGUAAUAACUUAAACCGUGCCUUGGACAUAGUAGAUCUCCAACAGUUUUUCUUGAAUGUGGCUACCUAAUGUGGAACAAGAUUUUUCAUAAUUACAUGUUGCUAUUUUUAAUA
This 626-nucleotide long non-coding RNA is filed under the name Homo sapiens (human). RNAcentral describes it as "HSALNT0296745". Lineage: Eukaryota; Metazoa; Chordata; Mammalia; Primates; Hominidae. The record is from RNAcentral.